This 252-nucleotide ribosomal RNA is filed under the name uncultured bacterium. RNAcentral's name for it is "partial 16S ribosomal RNA". It matches the Rfam family "Bacterial small subunit ribosomal RNA", at positions 526 to 779 of the family's 1533-position model. The record is from RNAcentral.
CGUAGGUGCGAGCGUUGUCCGGAUUAUUGGCGUAAAGGCGUCGUAGGCGGUUUGUCGCGUCGGGAGUGAAAACCAAUGAGCUUAACUCAUGGCUUGCUUUCGAUACGGGCAGACUAGAGGUAUGCAGGGGAGAACGGAAUUCCUGGUGUAGCGGUGAAAUGCGCAGAUAUCAGGAGGAACACCGGUGGCGAAGGCGGUUCUCUGGGCAUUACCUGACGCUGAGGAGCGAAAGUGUGGGGAGCGAACAGGAUU